CGGGAUGUGGCGCAGUUUGGUAGCGUACAAGUAUGGGGUACUUGGGGUCGAAGGUUCGAAUCCUUUCAUCCCGACCA
Molecule: transfer RNA, 77 nt
Filed under: Tissierellia bacterium
Lineage: Bacteria; Bacillati; Bacillota; Tissierellia
Description: tRNA-Pro
Rfam family: tRNA
About the family: Transfer RNA (tRNA) molecules are approximately 80 nucleotides in length. Their secondary structure includes four short double-helical elements and three loops (D, anti-codon, and T loops).
Source: RNAcentral